GUCGAGAAUAAUUCACAAUGGACGAAAGUCUGAUGGUGCAACGCCGCGUGGAGGAUGACGGUCUUCGGAUUGUAAACUCCUGUCAUCCGGGAGUAAGACCUGGCUGUGAAUAGCAGACAGGGUUGAUAGUACCGGAAGAGGAAGGGACGGCUAACUUCGUGCCAGCAGCCGCGGUAAUACGAAGGUCCCGAGCGUUGUUCGGAAUCACUGGGCGUAAAGGGAGCGUAGGCGGCGUGGUAAGUCAGAUGUGAAAUGCCGGGGCUCAACCCCGGAACUGCAUCCGAUACUGCCGUGCUAGAGGAUUGGAGAGGUAGCUGGAAUUCUUGGUGUAGCAGUGAAAUGCGUGGAGAUCAAGAGGAACACUCGUGGCGAAAGCGAGCUACUGGACAAUAUCUGACGCUGAGGCUCGAAGGCCAGGGUAGCGAAAGGGAUUAGAAACCCCAGUAGUCC
This 450-nucleotide ribosomal RNA is filed under the name uncultured bacterium. Its description in RNAcentral is "partial 16S ribosomal RNA". It matches the Rfam family "Bacterial small subunit ribosomal RNA", at positions 354 to 796 of the family's 1533-position model. The record is from RNAcentral.